Molecule: RNA transcript, 2293 nt
Organism: Delphinapterus leucas (beluga whale)
Lineage: Eukaryota; Metazoa; Chordata; Mammalia; Artiodactyla; Monodontidae
Gene: SELL
Gene name: selectin L
Source: RefSeq, a predicted model, not a curated record
CUGGGGACAGUGAGUGCAAUCUCCCUGCACACCCAUCCUUGGGCAAGGACCCAGAGACCUCUGGUGCUGAGCGCAGAGGCUGAAGUGCUACAGAAGAACUAUAGAAGGACGGAGCAAAGCCAUGAUAUUUCCAUGGAAAUGUCAGAGUGCUCAGAGGAGCUUAUGGAACGUUUUUGAGCUGUGGGUCUGGACUGUGCUCUGUUGUGAUUUCUUCGCACAUCAUGGAACCGAUUGCUGGACUUACCAUUAUUCUAAAAGACCCAUGACCUGGGAAAAGGCUAGAAUGUUCUGCAGAAAAAAUUACACGGAUUUAGUUGCCAUACAAAACAAAGGGGAGAUUGAGUACCUGAACAAGACGCUCCCCUUCAGUCCUAAAUACUACUGGAUAGGAAUCCGGAAGGUAGGAGGGGCAUGGACCUGGGUAGGGACCAACAAAUCUCUCACCGAAGAAGCGGAGAACUGGGGCCAUGGGGAGCCCAACAACAAGAAGAGUAAAGAAGACUGUGUGGAGAUCUACAUCAAGAGGGCAAAAGACGCAGGGAAAUGGAAUGACGACGCCUGCCACAAAGCAAAGACAGCCCUCUGCUACACAGCUUCUUGUCAACCCUUGUCAUGCAGCGGCCAUGGACAAUGUAUGGAAAUCAUCAAUAAUUACACCUGCAACUGUGAUUUGGGGCACUACGGGCCCCAGUGUCAGUUCGUGACUCAGUGUGAGCCUUUGGAGGCCCCAGAGCUGGGUACCAUGGCCUGUAUUCACCCUUUGGGAAACUUCAGCUUCACAUCACAGUGUGCCUUCAACUGCUUUGAGGGAACAGACAUAGUUGGGAUUGAAGAAACCACUUGUGGACCAUUUGGAAACUGGUCAUCUCCAAAGCCAACAUGUCGAGUGAUUCAGUGUGAGCCUCUAACAGCACCCGGUUUUGGAACCAUGGACUGUAGUCACCUCCUGGUCGACUUUGGCUUUACCUCCACGUGUACCUUCAGCUGCUCAGAAGGAGCUGAGUUAAUUGGGGAAAAUAAAACUAUUUGUGGAUCAUCUGGAAAUUGGUCCAGCCCUAGUCCAAUAUGUCAAAAAGUGGACAGGAAUUUCUCAACAAUCAAGGAGGGUGACUAUAACCCCCUCUUCAUUCCAGUGGCAGUCAUGGUUACCACAUUCUCUGGGUUGGCAUUUAUCAUUUGGCUGGCAAGGAGAUUAAAAAAAGGCAAAAAGUCUCGGAGAAGGUAAGUUUUAUCAGCAAGAAGUUUCGAUAUCUGUUGAUGCCUUCUCUACCCUCUGCUUACAGAGGCAUGGAUGAGCCGUAUUAAACAACCUGCUGUGAAAGAAAAUUCUUGGGAAACUGAAGUGUCACUGGAUCCUUCGAAUCCCCCUCCAUGCAAAGUUUUGCCUGGUGGCAUCUUCUACACUGAAGAUGAAGUGUGUCUAUUUCAGUACAUCUGAAAAGUUUUCAAUACGACCAGCUGCUCCUUCUGUUUCCAUUUUGCCCCAUCACCCCUACCCCCGCAAGUUUCAGUGUGCAGUUGUGGGUUUUAUAGCUCAGUAUUUUAUUCUUUUUUCCAUGGACAAACAAGAUCAUGGGAAAAGGAUUACUGUGGAAUAUAAAUAUGCCAAUUUCACUCUCUUUCUCCACUCUGGCUUCCAGCUUCAAUUCUGAGCUGUACCUGAUGACAUAUACUUUGAAAUAUAGCGAAAAUUUGAUACAUAUGCAACUACAGGCUCAGUUUUGUUACAGAUCACAUUUUACCUCCCCUGCCCUCCAGGGUAUUGUGGAGACAUAUUCCUAUAGAAAGUUUAUAAAAUUGAUGUUACCCUUGCUUUCCAGCUCCAGCAGAGUAAUGGGGAUCUGCUCCAACUAGGAAAAGUCCUGUUUGCACUGCAGCCCCAGCUUCUAUAAAUGGUAGGCCAUCCUAUUUAACUGCCCCCAGGCUCCCACCUUCUUCAGCCAUCUCCCCUUCUCAGUUGCCUGACUUCCACACGGAGCAGCUCAUGACCACCAAGCAAAACGAGAGAUGAGAAAGAUAGCCUGCACUGUUGGGUUUUUCUUUUUGGAUUUGGGUUUUAAUGUCGCGUUUUUGUUAUUGGGGGUCCUUCCUCACCCCCAAAUCCUCUUACGUAUCCACCUAGAUUCUAUCUACUCUUUAUGAUUCAUCUCGGGCAUCCCCCACCCUUACCACUGUUUUCAUAAGUCCUUAACUAGUCCAACCUGUGACAAACUCCCCUUCCUGGCCUCCUACUGCAAGCUUAGUCAGUAACAUGCAAUUUUGCACUUAAAUACAGUUUUUAAAAAAAAUGUUA